Long non-coding RNA from Oreochromis niloticus (Nile tilapia), 937 nucleotides. RefSeq lists it as uncharacterized. The record is from RefSeq and is a predicted model, not a curated record. The transcript is spliced from 2 exons. NCBI's taxonomy places the organism in Eukaryota, Metazoa, Chordata, Actinopteri, Cichliformes, Cichlidae.
CCUUCACAGACAAUGUACUUACUAGUUACACAAAUGUAAGAAAAUACUCUUUAGCCUAGAUAUCCACUGUUGACACAUGCAAAGAGCAUUUGUGGAACAUUUUCACAUUGAAGGAAAACUACUGCCAUGAAAAAAGAUCAAUUUACUGCCCAUGUGACAUUGUAAUCUUUAAAAAGAAACCCCUAGCCUGAUGACGUCUGCUAUGCAUGUCACAUAUAUACAGACCAUUCAUGGACCAGAGGCUGCGACACUGUGCCUGUACUACAACCAGGGAAACAGGGAACGAAGCAUAAAGGUUCUGCUAUGCUCAGUGACACAGUCUGUCCAGAUGGAAAGGCGACCUGAACAGGAAAAUGAAUGACAGCAAAAUUCAUCAUGAAGAGAGAGAAAGUAAGAUAAUCUCAAGAUGAAUGAGCACUUUACUCACUUUGGCAAGAACUGCUUAAAGCUAGUAAGAUAAUAAAGUUCUAAAAUAACACAAAUGAGAAGCAGAGACAUGGCAGCAGGGGCGUUUUUACACUUUAUUUUCCACCUUACAAAACAGAAGUUGUUUAUCUUUUAUGAUUCUUGUUUUCUCAAGACAAAAUGCAGGAGCGAAGGAAAAAGACCCAACAACAACAACACAAACCAACAUUAGACCACAUUCCUUGGUGCACCACAUAUUACUAACGGCAGUAAUAACUAAGAACUUUUGCCAGGGUUGUCAAACCUCUAAAAAACCUUGUGUACUGCAGCCACUCUGCAUGCUUUUGGCCCCCUUCCUUUCUUAUCAUGAUAAAUUCUGCUGCAGUUGUUUCCUUUGUUGACUGCCACAGUCUGGAGUGUGAGACCAGGAAAUUCAUUUUAGGUGUGUAGCUGUGAACUUUUCCAUAUAACAAAAACAAGUUUCCCACCAACUUCGGGCGCCACUGUCUCAGAUCAUAUCAGGGGCUAGAAA